This 73-nucleotide transfer RNA is filed under the name Candidatus Zambryskibacteria bacterium RIFCSPHIGHO2_01_FULL_39_63. RNAcentral's name for it is "tRNA-Thr". It matches the Rfam family "tRNA". Rfam says of the family: Transfer RNA (tRNA) molecules are approximately 80 nucleotides in length. Their secondary structure includes four short double-helical elements and three loops (D, anti-codon, and T loops). The record is from RNAcentral. RNAcentral also lists the same sequence under 3 other names. Lineage: Bacteria; Candidatus Zambryskiibacteriota.
GCCGGAGUAGCUUAGUUGGUAAAGCAAUGCUUUCGUAAAGCAGAGACCGCGAGUUCAAUUCUCGCCUCCGGCU